GAAUUACGGUAUCCAAGAGUAUUAGGGAAAUUCAAUUUCCUUGAUAAAAUGAAGUCAAAGUUAUACAGAGAUGCUUAUAAUAUUAGAGCAAACAGUAGGAGGCAUGUAUCUUUUACAAAGCUUUUACUAAAAAAGUAAAUAUCUAAAUUGUUUGUUUCCUAGAAUUAUUUCUCUUGAACAGAUAAAAUUCGAGACAUACCAUGAACUAUUAAUUCUAACCAGAUGUAUUUUUUAAUAUAUAUAAGUGCAUUAUGGACGAGAGCAUAAAUUACUGAUAAAUCUUCGUUCCACGUUUAUCCAGCGAAGUAGUAGAUGCAUUCUUUAUGAAUGUGUGAGCGUCGCGAACUAUAAAACGUCAUUUGUGUCAUCUUUUGUUCUAGAAUAUCCUACAGUUUCGUAGGUUUCCAGGUUAAGGUGUCGUCCCUUUUCACAAGCAGCAGAUUGCUUUGCAUGUUUUAUAAAUCGCUGAUCUUUGGUAUUAAAAGAGCUCGCUCUGGGAAGACGAGUUACGAAUUUUGCGAGGUGCACGAAUUUUUUUCUCUUUGCGUCUCGUGUUUCAAAUUAACACAUUUCCGCUUCCCGACACAUUAACUGAUAAUGUUUUCCGUUUUUCGUUGAUUCGUACGUGUAUGUACGAGUAUGUAUUCUCUUCCUGCUAGUACUGGCUAUAGAUGCGAUCAUAAGGAAACAGUAUGGAAUGGAGAACUAUUUCUCUCCGGUAACGGAAAGACAACAUUUACUUUCCUCUGGAUAUAUACAAGAGUAAAAAAGUCAGAAUUAUAAUCAAAAUUCAAAGAAAAAUUGUUGAUGUUUAAAAAGUAUCGGCAUUUUUAAAUAAGAAAAUAGUUUUAUUUUAAUUUUUAAUAGAUGUUUUUUUUAAAUAUAGAAAAUAAUUAAAAAACUUGGAACGGAAAAAUUUUAACCUAAGUAGUAAUAAAAUCCCAUUAUUCGAAUAAAUAUUUUGUAGAUUUUGUCUCAAUGAAACCAAACAUCGGAUGGAAUUAAGAAUGAAAGUUUGAUAUAUAAUAAAUGUCAAACAUUUUUCUAUUACCUUAAAUGUAUUCUAAUUACGUAAAAAUAAAGCGUACAACUAUUGAAAUG
Monomorium pharaonis (pharaoh ant) is the source of this 1101-nucleotide long non-coding RNA. RefSeq lists it as uncharacterized. The record is from RefSeq and is a predicted model, not a curated record. NCBI's taxonomy places the organism in Eukaryota, Metazoa, Arthropoda, Insecta, Hymenoptera, Formicidae. The transcript has 2 exons.